Molecule: long non-coding RNA, 1768 nt
Organism: Manis javanica (Malayan pangolin)
Lineage: Eukaryota; Metazoa; Chordata; Mammalia; Pholidota; Manidae
Source: RefSeq, a predicted model, not a curated record
GGGCGGAAAAUGGUGGCGGGGAGAGGCGAGGGCUGGGGCCGAGGGCAGGGGCGGGCCGGUGAACUCCGCCGGGGAGAAACCAGGAGCGGGAAUGAGGGGAAAGGCGGGCGCGGGAGCCGACAGGAAGGGCAGCGGGCACCGGGCGCAGCCGGCAGCGGAAGGGACGCGAGCCGGCUACCAACGAGCGGGUGGAGGGGGUGAGGAAGGUUUAGGCCAAAAAAAUGAAGGGGGUGUGGCGGGGAGAGGGGCUGACGGGCAAACGCGGGAAGGGAACGGAAUAGCUCCGGUACUUGAGAAAACGGGGGGCGAUCAGGGAGGAGACUGUCGGAUAAAAAUGAGGACCCGAAGACGGGGGAAUUGGGGAGACAAAACACGAGGACAGAAUUGUCGGGCCCGGGGGCCCGGGGAGAGCCGGGUGAGGAGCGUGGGGGGCGGGGAAGUAAUCAGGCUGGAGGAUAAAAUUGGGGACCUGAGGAGACCGGGGCUCAGAGGUUAAAUGAGAGCCAAGAUAGAGGCUGGGAGUGAGUGGAAGAGCUGAGGAAGAGGUAAGCCGCGAUUUUUAAAAAGGAAACGAGGGUGAAAAGCAGAGCACGCCAAGGUUAAAAUGAGGCAGGGGCAGCCAGCCAGAAGAAAGAGGGAUCUGACAAGAGCUGAGGGUCCAAACAUGGGCAAGCCGGGUAAACGGAUGUGACCGAGGAGGCCUGCGGCGGGACACAGGUGCCUCGGACCGCAGGGAAGAGAGGUGGAGAAAGACAGGGAAGGCGAAGGAGAAGACAACCAGCAUCCUCUAGGUCACCUUUACAUCCAGAAGGAUCUCAUUUCAGCCUCACCACAACCCUGUAAGCCCUUCAGGAGGUGUGGUGGUGAGGGUGUCAAGUCAAAGCAGAAUCAAAAGCUCUUCUUCGGUGUAGCUUUCCAAGCUUCUCAGACAAGAUAAUGAAGGACAGUUCUCUUCUUCACACUGGCCUGUCUUCUUGAACCAUGUCAUUCUGCUGCUCACUGCUGUCAUCUGCCCAGGAAGGAAAAGCAGUGAUCUGAAUAAAGGUGACUCCUUUAUCGAUGGUCUUCCACCAUCUGUGUCUUCAAUCAUCUCAAUUUCUAGUCCUUCCCUCGUGAACCAGAAUUGGAUUUUAUGAAGGAGCAGACAGGGUGGGGUGUGUGUUCCCCUUUGCACCUGUUGUUUUCACUCAACAUCCUCUAGACGUGCUUAAUGUCAUCCGCCCUCCAUACUCUUGGCUCAUGCCAUUCCUCUCACCCGGAGCACCUCUCUCCUUCCUGCUUAUUUCAAACUCAGCUGGCCUGAAAGACCUGCCUCGUGUUCCAUUUCUUCCAUUAAGUUUCUCCCAACCAAUGCACCCCUCAAGGCUCUCAUCUUUCUCUGAGGUCCUAUAAUUUUUCAACAGAUCAUUCUUCAGGCAGUUAAUCAAAUCCCUCCUCUGCACUCUCAAAGUGUUGGUUAAAGGUUUCUUUUGUUUUAAUUUUCCCCAUGUUUUAGUCUGUUCACCCUAACUGGCCUUGUAAAGCCCCCUGCAUGUGGAUAGUAUUGGUCUCCCUUUUCUAUUCCCCAGCCAUGUCAAUAUCAUGCCCUUCCCAGAGCAAUCCCUUGAUAAAUGUUUGUCAAUUUGUGUUGGUAGCUGACAGCAGAUUCUCAGGCAUGAGGUGACAGUCUGUCUUCCCCAGCCUUUAAGAAACCAAACUCAUCCCUUAGUUUUCUUACUGGGAAGCUCACCACAGUAGGAGCUCACUCACCGAAAGAGUGCUUUUACGG